CAUGCCGCGUGUGUGAAGAAGGCCUUCGGGUUGUAAAGCACUUUUGUCCGGAAAGAAAACUUCUGCCCUAAUAUGGAUGGAGGAUGACGGUACCGGAAGAAUAAGCACCGGCUAACUACGUGCCAGCAGCCGCGGUAAUACGUAGGGUGCGAGCGUUAAUCGGAAUUACUGGGCGUAAAGCGUGCGCAGGCGGUCUGUUAAGACCGAUGUGAAAUCCCCGGGCUUAACCUGGGAACUGCAUUGGUGACUGGCAGGCUUUGAGUGUGGCAAAGGGAGGUAGAAUUCCACGUGUAGCAGUGAAAUGCGUAAAGAUGUGGAGAAAUACCGAUGGCAAAGGCAGCCUCCUGGGCCAACACUGACGCUCAUGCACGAAAGCGUGGGGAGCAAACAGGAUUAGAUACCCUGGUAGUCCACGCCCUAAACGAUGUCAACUAGUUGUUGGGGAUUCAUUUCCUUAGUAACGUAGCUAACGCGUGAAGUUGACCGCCUGGGGAGUACGGUCCCAAGAUUAAAACUCAAGGAAUUUGACGG
Molecule: ribosomal RNA, 531 nt
Filed under: uncultured Caballeronia sp.
Lineage: Bacteria; Pseudomonadati; Pseudomonadota; Betaproteobacteria; Burkholderiales; Burkholderiaceae
Description: bacterial SSU rRNA
Rfam family: Bacterial small subunit ribosomal RNA
Source: RNAcentral